RNAcentral lists this ribosomal RNA (404 nucleotides) under Acidobacteriota bacterium. Its description in RNAcentral is "Acidobacteria bacterium partial 16S ribosomal RNA". It matches the Rfam family "Bacterial small subunit ribosomal RNA", at positions 355 to 776 of the family's 1533-position model. The record is from RNAcentral. Lineage: Bacteria; Pseudomonadati; Acidobacteriota.
UGGGGAAUAUUGCACAAUGGGGGAAACCCUGAUGCAGCGACGCCGCGUGAAGGAAGAAGUAUUUCGGUAUGUAAACUUCUAUCAGCAGGGAAGAAGAUGACGGUACCUGAGUAAGAAGCACCGGCUAAAUACGUGCCAGCAGCCGCGGUAAUACGUAUGGUGCAAGCGUUAUCCGGAUUUACUGGGUGUAAAGGGAGCGUAGACGGAUAGGCAAGUCUGGAGUGAAAACCCAGGGCUCAACUCUGGGACUGCUUUGGAAACUGCAGAUCUGGAGUGCCGGAGAGGUAAGCGGAAUUCCUAGUGUAGCGGUGAAAUGCGUAGAUAUUAGGAGGAACACCAGUGGCGAAGGCGGCUUACUGGACGGUGACUGACGUUGAGGCUCGAAAGCGUGGGGAGCAAACAGG